UAAGGAAUAUUGCGCAAUGGGGGAAACCCUGACGCAGCAACGCCGCGUGGAGGAUGACACUUUUCGGAGCGUAAACUCCUUUUAUCAGGAAAGAAUAAUGACGGUACCUGAUGAAUAAGCACCGGCUAACUCCGUGCCAGCAGCCGCGGUAAUACGGGGGGUGCAAGCGUUACUCGGAAUCACUGGGCGCAAAGGACGCGUAGGCGGAUUAUCAAGUCUUUUGUGAAAUCUAGUGGCUUAACCACUAAACUGCUUAGGAAACUGAUAGUCUAGAGUAGGGGAGAGGUAGAUGGAAUUAUUGGUGUAGGGGUAAAAUCCGUAGAGAUCAAGAAGAAUACCCAUUGCGAAAGCGAUCUGCUGGAACCUAACUGACGCUGAGGCGUGAAAGCGUGGGUAGCAAACAGG
This 405-nucleotide ribosomal RNA is filed under the name bacterium. RNAcentral's name for it is "partial 16S ribosomal RNA". It matches the Rfam family "Bacterial small subunit ribosomal RNA", at positions 355 to 776 of the family's 1533-position model. The record is from RNAcentral.